This 334-nucleotide unclassified non-coding RNA is filed under the name soil metagenome. Its description in RNAcentral is "partial contains 5.8S ribosomal RNA, internal transcribed spacer 2, and large subunit ribosomal RNA". The stretch from base 1 to 120 matches the Rfam family "5.8S ribosomal RNA", at positions 35 to 154 of the family's 154-position model. The record is from RNAcentral.
GAUGAAGAACGUAGCGAAAUGCGAUACGUAAUGUGAAUUGCAGAAUUCAGUGAAUCAUCGAAUCUUUGAACGCACAUUGCGCCAGCCAGCAGUCUGGCGGGCAUGCCUGUUCGAGCGUCAUUUCAACCAUCAAGCCCCAGGCUUGCGUUGGAGCCCUGCGGCUGCCGCAGCCUCCUAAAAGCAGUGGCGGGCUCGCUAUCACACCGAGUGCAGUAGAUUACUCUUCGCUCAGGGCGUGCAGCGGGUUCCGGCCGUGAAACCCCCUACUUUUAAAGGUUGACCUCGGAUCAGGUAGGAAUACCCGCUGAACUUAAGCAUAUCAAUAAGCGGAGGA